Molecule: non-coding RNA, 104 nt
Filed under: Desulforamulus ruminis
Lineage: Bacteria; Bacillati; Bacillota; Clostridia; Eubacteriales; Peptococcaceae
Also listed under: 1 other name
Description: Desulfotomaculum ruminis TPP sequence
Rfam family: TPP riboswitch aptamer (THI element)
About the family: Vitamin B(1) in its active form thiamin pyrophosphate (TPP) is an essential coenzyme that is synthesised by coupling of pyrimidine and thiazole moieties in bacteria. The previously detected thiamin-regulatory element, thi box was extended, resulting in a new, highly conserved RNA secondary structure, the THI element, which is widely distributed in eubacteria and also occurs in some archaea.
Source: RNAcentral
AGCUUUUACCAGGGGAGCCAAUGGGGCUGAGAAAGGGCUUUACGCACCUGACCCUUAACCAGAUCGGGAUAAUGCCCGCGUGGGGAGUGUAGUGCUUCUUAGAC